UACGUAGGUGGCAAGCGUUGUCCGGAAUUAUUGGGCGUAAAGCGCGCGCAGGCGGUUCUUUAAGUCUGAUGUGAAAGCCCACGGCUCAACCGUGGAGGGUCAUUGGAAACUGGAGAACUUGAGUACAGAAGAGGAAAGCGGAAUUCCACGUGUAGCGGUGAAAUGCGUAGAGAUGUGGAGGAACACCAGUGGCGAAGGCGGCUUUCUGGUCUGUAACUGACGCUGAGACGCGAAAGCGUGGGGAGCAAACAGG
RNAcentral lists this ribosomal RNA (253 nucleotides) under uncultured bacterium. Its description in RNAcentral is "partial 16S ribosomal RNA". It matches the Rfam family "Bacterial small subunit ribosomal RNA", at positions 524 to 776 of the family's 1533-position model. The record is from RNAcentral.